GCCCCAGUGGCGCAAUUGGUUAGCGCACGGUACUUAUAAUGCCGAGGUUGUGAGUUCGAGCCUCACCUGGGGCA
RNAcentral lists this transfer RNA (74 nucleotides) under Blattella germanica (German cockroach). RNAcentral's name for it is "tRNA-Ile (TAT) (tRNA-Ile-TAT-1-1)". It matches the Rfam family "tRNA". Rfam says of the family: Transfer RNA (tRNA) molecules are approximately 80 nucleotides in length. Their secondary structure includes four short double-helical elements and three loops (D, anti-codon, and T loops). The record is from RNAcentral. Lineage: Eukaryota; Metazoa; Arthropoda; Insecta; Blattodea; Blattellidae.